Molecule: ribosomal RNA, 497 nt
Filed under: uncultured bacterium
Lineage: Bacteria
Description: partial 16S ribosomal RNA
Rfam family: Bacterial small subunit ribosomal RNA
Source: RNAcentral
GAUGAACGCUGGCGGCGUGCCUAAUACAUGCAAGUCGAGCGAACAGACGAGGAGCUUGCUCCUCUGACGUUAGCGGCGGACGGGUGAGUAACACGUGGAUAACCUACCUAUAAGACUGGGAUAACUUCGGGACACCGGAGCUAAUACCGGAUAAUAUAUUGAACCGCAUGGUUCAAUAGUGAAAGACGGUUUCGCUGUCACUUAUAGAUGGAUCCGCGCCGCAUUAGCUAGUUGGUAAGGUAACGGCUUACCAAGGCGACGAUGCGUAGCCGACUUGAGAGGGUGAUCGGCCACACUGGAACUGAGACACGGUCCAGACUCCUACGGGAGGCAGCAGUAGGGAAUCUUCCGCAAUGGGCGAAAGCCUGACGGAGCAACGCCGCGUGAGUGAUGAAGGUCUUCGGAUCGUAAAACUCUGUUAUUAGGGAAGAACAAAUGUGUAAGUAACUAUGCACGUCUUGACGGUACCUAAUCAGAAAGCCACGGCUAACUACGUG